This is a long non-coding RNA of Sciurus carolinensis (gray squirrel), 365 nucleotides long. RefSeq lists it as uncharacterized. NCBI's taxonomy places the organism in Eukaryota, Metazoa, Chordata, Mammalia, Rodentia, Sciuridae. The record is from RefSeq and is a predicted model, not a curated record. The transcript is spliced from 3 exons.
CGGGAACAGCGUUCCUUGGGGCAGCAGCAGGUUCGCCCACGGGAGGACUCGUCCCAGGCCUGGCCUCCUGCAUCCUCGCUCACGGCUCUGUAGAACUCGUGGAUUAAUAGCAGACAGGAGUCUGAAUAGCACGAAAAGUUGGUGUCUGUCUUACGCAUGGCGAGGUGCCCAAGGCUCACAGUUCACCUUGAGGCAGCUACUGCGGGCCAGACGGACGCGAGGGCUUUUUAAGAAUCCAAGCAUGUGAAUCAGCUUUGUCUCUUCUCAGGUCGUAAGUAAAGGGAAUUCUGCCUCGUCUGCUUCUUUGGCUUCACACGUCAGAGGUGUUCAUUCACCCCAUUGUGCACAUCAGUCUGGUUCUUAUC